This 299-nucleotide ribosomal RNA is filed under the name uncultured bacterium. RNAcentral describes it as "partial 16S ribosomal RNA". It matches the Rfam family "Bacterial small subunit ribosomal RNA", at positions 775 to 1067 of the family's 1533-position model. The record is from RNAcentral.
GGAUUAGAUACCCUGGUAGUCCACGCCGUAAACGAUGCACACUAGGUCGCGGUACCUCUCAUGGUUUCGCUGCCGAAGGUAAACUGGUAAGUGUGCCGCCUGGGGAGUACGGUCGCAAGGCUAAAACUCAAAGGAAUUGACGGGGGCUCACACAAGCGGUGGAGCAUGUUGCUUAAUUCGAAGCAACGCGAAGAACCUUACCAAGGCUUGACAUGUAUGGAUUAACUUUUCGAAAGAUAGGCCACGCCCUUUGGGUGGAACAUACACAGGUGCUGCAUGGCUGUCGUCAGCUCGUGUCG